Molecule: ribosomal RNA, 228 nt
Filed under: uncultured bacterium
Lineage: Bacteria
Description: partial 16S ribosomal RNA
Rfam family: Bacterial small subunit ribosomal RNA
Source: RNAcentral
UACGAAGGGGGCUAGCGUUGCUCGGAAUCACUGGGCGUAAAGGGCGCGUAGGCGGACUCUUAAGUCGGGGGUGAAAGCCCAGGGCUCAACCCUGGAAUUGCCUUCGAUACUGAGAGUCUUGAGUUCGGAAGAGGUUGGUGGAACUGCGAGUGUAGAGGUGAAAUUCGUAGAUAUUCGCAAGAACACCAGUGGCGAAGGCGGCCAACUGGUCCGAUACUGACGCUGAGG